UGCGAGCGUUGUCCGGAAUUACUGGGCGUAAAGAGCUCGUAGGUGGUUUGUCGCGUCGUUUGUGUAAGUCCAUGGCUUAACUGUGGGACUGCAGGCGAUACGGGCAUAACUUGAGUGCUGUAGGGGAGACUGGAAUUCCUGGUGUAGCGGUGAAAUGCGCAGAUAUCAGGAGGAACACCGAUGGCGAAGGCAGGUCUCUGGGCAGUAACUGACGCUGAGGAGCGAAAGCAUGGGUAGCGAACAGGAUUAGAUACCCUGGUAGUCCAUGCCGUAAACGGUGGGCGCUAGGUGUGAGCCUCUUCCACGGGGUUCGUGCCGUAGCUAACGCAUUAAGCGCCCCGCCUGGGGAGUACGGCCGCAAGGCUAAAACUCAAAGGAAUUGACGGGGGCCCGCACAAGCGGCGGAGCAUGUGGAUUAAUUCGAUGCAACGCGAAGAACCUUACCUGGGCUUGACAUGCACUGGAUCGGGCCAGAGAUGGUCUUUCCCUUUGUGGCUGGUGUGCAGGUGGUGCAUGGUUGUCGUCAGCUCGUGUCGUGAGAUGU
This 544-nucleotide ribosomal RNA is filed under the name Corynebacterium auris. RNAcentral's name for it is "bacterial SSU rRNA". It matches the Rfam family "Bacterial small subunit ribosomal RNA", at positions 533 to 1075 of the family's 1533-position model. Lineage: Bacteria; Bacillati; Actinomycetota; Actinomycetes; Mycobacteriales; Corynebacteriaceae. The record is from RNAcentral.